CUCACGACCGUACCGCAAACCGACACUGGUGCGCGAGAUGAGUAUUCUAAGGCGCUUGAGAGAACUCAGGAGAAGGAACUCGGCAAAUUGACACCGUAACUUCGGAAGAAGGUGUGCCUUUAGUAGGUGAACCAUUUACUUGGGGAGCCCAAUGAGGCUGCAAAAAAUCGGUGGCUGCAACUGUUUAUUAAAAACACAGCACUCUGCUAAGACGAAAGUCGACGUAUAGGGUGUGACGCCUGCCCGGUGCUGGAAGAUUAAAUGAUGGGGUGCAAGCUCUUGAUUGAAGUCCCAGUAAACGGCGGCCGUAACUAUAACGGUCCUAAGGUAGCGAAAUUCCUUGUCGGGUAAGUUCCGACCUGCACGAAUGGCGUAAUGAUGGCCACACUGUCUCCUCCUGAGACUCAGCGAAGUUGAAAUGUUUGUGAUGAUGCAAUCUCCCCGCGGAAAGACGGAAAGACCCCAUGAACCUUUACUGUAGCUUUGUAUUGGACUUUGAACAGAUCUGUGUAGGAUAGGUGGGAGGCUUUGAAGUGUGGUCGCUAGAUCGCAUGGAGCCAACGUUGAAAUACCACCCUGGUGUGUUUGAGGUUCUAACCUAGGUCCAUUAUCUGGAUCGGGGACAGUGCAUGGUAGGCAGUUUGACUGGGGCGGUCUCCUCCCAAAGUGUAACGGAGGAGUUCGAAGGUACGCUAGGUACGGUCGGACAUCGUGCUAAUAGUGCAAUGGCAUAAGCGUGCUUAACUGCGAGACUGACAAGUCGAGCAGAUGCGAAAGCAGGACAUAGUGAUCCGGUGGUUCUGUAUGGAAGGGCCAUCGCUCAACGGAUAAAAGGUACUCUGGGGAUAACAGGCUGAUACCGCCCAAGAGUUCAUAUCGACGGCGGUGUUUGGCACCUCGAUGUCGGCUCAUCUCAUCCUGGGGCUGUAGCCGGUCCCAAGGGUAUGGCUGUUCGCCAUUUAAAGAGGUACGUGAGCUGGGUUUAAAACGUCGUGAGACAGUUUGGUCCCUAUCUUCCGUGGGCGCUGCAGAUUUGAGGAAGCCUGCUCCUAGUACGAGAGGACCGGAGUGGACGAACCUCUGGUGUAUCGGUUGUCACGCCAGUGGCAUUGCCGAGUAGCUAAGUUCGGAAGAGAUAACCGCUGAAAGCAUCUAAGCGGGAAACUCGCUUCAAGAUUAGAUCUGCCGGGGCCUUGAGCCCCCUAAAGAGUCGUUCAAGACCAGGACGUUGAUAGGUCAGGUGUGGAAGCG
Molecule: ribosomal RNA, 1251 nt
Filed under: metagenome
Description: bacterial LSU rRNA
Rfam family: Bacterial large subunit ribosomal RNA
Source: RNAcentral